This 2901-nucleotide ribosomal RNA is filed under the name Escherichia coli. RNAcentral describes it as "bacterial LSU rRNA". It matches the Rfam family "Bacterial large subunit ribosomal RNA". The record is from RNAcentral. Lineage: Bacteria; Pseudomonadati; Pseudomonadota; Gammaproteobacteria; Enterobacterales; Enterobacteriaceae.
UUAAGCGACUAAGCGUACACGGUGGAUGCCCUGGCAGUCAGAGGCGAUGAAGGACGUGCUAAUCUGCGAUAAGCGUCGGUAAGGUGAUAUGAACCGUUAUAACCGGCGAUUUCCGAAUGGGGAAACCCAGUGUGUUUCGACACACUAUCAUUAACUGAAUCCAUAGGUUAAUGAGGCGAACCGGGGGAACUGAAACAUCUAAGUACCCCGAGGAAAAGAAAUCAACCGAGAUUCCCCCAGUAGCGGCGAGCGAACGGGGAGCAGCCCAGAGCCUGAAUCAGUGUGUGUGUUAGUGGAAGCGUCUGGAAAGGCGCGCGAUACAGGGUGACAGCCCCGUACACAAAAAUGCACAUGCUGUGAGCUCGAUGAGUAGGGCGGGACACGUGGUAUCCUGUCUGAAUAUGGGGGGACCAUCCUCCAAGGCUAAAUACUCCUGACUGACCGAUAGUGAACCAGUACCGUGAGGGAAAGGCGAAAAGAACCCCGGCGAGGGGAGUGAAAAAGAACCUGAAACCGUGUACGUACAAGCAGUGGGAGCACGCUUCGGCGUGUGACUGCGUACCUUUUGUAUAAUGGGUCAGCGACUUAUAUUCUGUAGCAAGGUUAACCGAAUAGGGGAGCCGAAGGGAAACCGAGUCUUAACUGGGCGUUAAGUUGCAGGGUAUAGACCCGAAACCCGGUGAUCUAGCCAUGGGCAGGUUGAAGGUUGGGUAACACUAACUGGAGGACCGAACCGACUAAUGUUGAAAAAUUAGCGGAUGACUUGUGGCUGGGGGUGAAAGGCCAAUCAAACCGGGAGAUAGCUGGUUCUCCCCGAAAGCUAUUUAGGUAGCGCCUCGUGAAUUCAUCUCCGGGGGUAGAGCACUGUUUCGGCAAGGGGGUCAUCCCGACUUACCAACCCGAUGCAAACUGCGAAUACCGGAGAAUGUUAUCACGGGAGACACACGGCGGGUGCUAACGUCCGUCGUGAAGAGGGAAACAACCCAGACCGCCAGCUAAGGUCCCAAAGUCAUGGUUAAGUGGGAAACGAUGUGGGAAGGCCCAGACAGCCAGGAUGUUGGCUUAGAAGCAGCCAUCAUUUAAAGAAAGCGUAAUAGCUCACUGGUCGAGUCGGCCUGCGCGGAAGAUGUAACGGGGCUAAACCAUGCACCGAAGCUGCGGCAGCGACACUAUGUGUUGUUGGGUAGGGGAGCGUUCUGUAAGCCUGUGAAGGUGUGCUGUGAGGCAUGCUGGAGGUAUCAGAAGUGCGAAUGCUGACAUAAGUAACGAUAAAGCGGGUGAAAAGCCCGCUCGCCGGAAGACCAAGGGUUCCUGUCCAACGUUAAUCGGGGCAGGGUGAGUCGACCCCUAAGGCGAGGCCGAAAGGCGUAGUCGAUGGGAAACAGGUUAAUAUUCCUGUACUUGGUGUUACUGCGAAGGGGGGACGGAGAAGGCUAUGUUGGCCGGGCGACGGUUGUCCCGGUUUAAGCGUGUAGGCUGGUUUUCCAGGCAAAUCCGGAAAAUCAAGGCUGAGGCGUGAUGACGAGGCACUACGGUGCUGAAGCAACAAAUGCCCUGCUUCCAGGAAAAGCCUCUAAGCAUCAGGUAACAUCAAAUCGUACCCCAAACCGACACAGGUGGUCAGGUAGAGAAUACCAAGGCGCUUGAGAGAACUCGGGUGAAGGAACUAGGCAAAAUGGUGCCGUAACUUCGGGAGAAGGCACGCUGAUAUGUAGGUGAAGUCCCUUGCGGAUGGAGCUGAAAUCAGUCGAAGAUACCAGCUGGCUGCAACUGUUUAUUAAAAACACAGCACUGUGCAAACACGAAAGUGGACGUAUACGGUGUGACGCCUGCCCGGUGCCGGAAGGUUAAUUGAUGGGGUCAGCGCAAGCGAAGCUCUUGAUCGAAGCCCCGGUAAACGGCGGCCGUAACUAUAACGGUCCUAAGGUAGCGAAAUUCCUUGUCGGGUAAGUUCCGACCUGCACGAAUGGCGUAAUGAUGGCCAGGCUGUCUCCACCCGAGACUCAGUGAAAUUGAACUCGCUGUGAAGAUGCAGUGUACCCGCGGCAAGACGGAAAGACCCCGUGAACCUUUACUAUAGCUUGACACUGAACAUUGAGCCUUGAUGUGUAGGAUAGGUGGGAGGCUUGGAAGUGUGGACGCCAGUCUGCAUGGAGCCGACCUUGAAAUACCACCCUUUAAUGUUUGAUGUUCUAACGUUGACCCGUAAUCCGGGUUGCGGACAGUGUCUGGUGGGUAGUUUGACUGGGGCGGUCUCCUCCUAAAGAGUAACGGAGGAGCACGAAGGUUGGCUAAUCCUGGUCGGACAUCAGGAGGUUAGUGCAAUGGCAUAAGCCAGCUUGACUGCGAGCGUGACGGCGCGAGCAGGUGCGAAAGCAGGUCAUAGUGAUCCGGUGGUUCUGAAUGGAAGGGCCAUCGCUCAACGGAUAAAAGGUACUCCGGGGAUAACAGGCUGAUACCGCCCAAGAGUUCAUAUCGACGGCGGUGUUUGGCACCUCGAUGUCGGCUCAUCACAUCCUGGGGCUGAAGUAGGUCCCAAGGGUAUGGCUGUUCGCCAUUUAAAGUGGUACGCGAGCUGGGUUUAGAACGUCGUGAGACAGUUCGGUCCCUAUCUGCCGUGGGCGCUGGAGAACUGAGGGGGGCUGCUCCUAGUACGAGAGGACCGGAGUGGACGCAUCACUGGUGUUCGGGUUGUCAUGCCAAUGGCACUGCCCGGUAGCUAAAUGCGGAAGAGAUAAGUGCUGAAAGCAUCUAAGCACGAAACUUGCCCCGAGAUGAGUUCUCCCUGACCCUUUAAGGGUCCUGAAGGAACGUUGAAGACGACGACGUUGAUAGGCCGGGUGUGUAAGCGCAGCGAUGCGUUGAGCUAACCGGUACUAAUGAACCGUGAGGCUUAACCUU